ACGGAAGGCAGCAGUGGGGAAUAUUGCACAAUGGGGGAAACCCUGAUGCAGCAACGCCGCGUGAAGGAAGACGGUCUUCGGAUUGUAAACUUUUGUUCUUAGUGAAGAUAAUGACGGUAGCUAAGGAGAAAGCCACGGCUAACUACGUGCCAGCAGCCGCGGUAAUACGUAGGUGGCAAGCGUUGUCCGGAAUUACUGGGUGUAAAGGGAGCGCAGGCGGGAAAUCAAGUUGGAUGUGAAAUGUCGGGGCUUAACCCCGGAACUGCAUCCAAAACUGAUUUUCUUGAGUGAAGUAGAGGUAGGCGGAAUUCCGAGUGUAGCGGUGAAAUGCGUAGAUAUUCGGAGGAACACCAGUGGCGAAGGCGGCUUACUGGACUGUAACUGACGUUGAGGCUCGAAAGCGUGGGGAGCAAACAGGAUUAGAUACCCUGGUA
RNAcentral lists this ribosomal RNA (434 nucleotides) under uncultured Oscillospiraceae bacterium. RNAcentral's name for it is "bacterial SSU rRNA". It matches the Rfam family "Bacterial small subunit ribosomal RNA", at positions 341 to 792 of the family's 1533-position model. The record is from RNAcentral. Lineage: Bacteria; Bacillati; Bacillota; Clostridia; Eubacteriales; Oscillospiraceae.